Molecule: small RNA, 68 nt
Filed under: Ulvibacter sp. MAR_2010_11
Lineage: Bacteria; Pseudomonadati; Bacteroidota; Flavobacteriia; Flavobacteriales; Flavobacteriaceae
Description: Flavo-1 RNA
Rfam family: Flavo-1 RNA
Source: RNAcentral
AAAUAGCCCCGAUUGCAGCGGCAUCCUCCCAACUUGAUUGGGAGAUACAGCGGAAAGCGGGAAAAAGC